RNAcentral lists this ribosomal RNA (589 nucleotides) under uncultured bacterium. Its description in RNAcentral is "partial 16S ribosomal RNA". It matches the Rfam family "Bacterial small subunit ribosomal RNA", at positions 355 to 941 of the family's 1533-position model. The record is from RNAcentral.
UGGGGAAUAUUGGACAAUGGGCGCAAGCCUGAUCCAGCAAUGCCGCGUGUGUGAAGAAGGCCCUCGGGUUGUAAAGCACUUUUAUCAGGAGCGAAAUCUGCAAGGCUAAUACCCUUGUAGUCUGACGGUACCUGAGGAAUAAGCACCGGCUAACUCCGUGCCAGCAGCCACGGUAAUACGGAGGGUGCAAGCGUUAAUCGGAAUUACUGGGCGUAAAGCGUGUGUAGGCGGUUUGUUAAGUCUGUUGUGAAAGCCCCGGGCUCAACCUGGGAAUGGCAAUGGAUACUGGCAAGCUAGAGUGUGAUAGAGGAUGGUGGAAUUCCCGGUGUAGCGGUGAAAUGCGUAGAGAUCGGGAGGAACAUCAGUGGCGAAGGCGGCCAUCUGGAUCAACACUGACGCUGAGACACGAAAGCGUGGGGAGCAAACAGGAUUAGAUACCCUGGUAGUCCACGCCCUAAACGAUGCGAACUGGAUGUUGGUCUCAACUCGGAGAUCAGUGUCGAAGCUAACGCGUUAAGUUCGCCGCCUGGGGAGUNCGGUCGCAAGACUGAAACUCAAAGGAAUUGACGGGGGUCAUAGCUGUUUCCUG